UGAAAGCUCGAAAAGAUGUAAAAUUUAGGAUUGGUGACUGUGAAGCUGAAGUUGUAUAUUAAUUGGGUUUUGGUUUGAGCAUUAAACACACAGAAACUGAGAUGGCUAGAACCACUCUUUCUUCCCUGUCUUUAUUUUUCUGUAUUCUCCUCAUAAUCACCUUCACUUUCUUCAUGCUACCUAUUCCAGUAAGAGCAGGUUUGUCUCUGUCAUUCAAUCAUCCAAUCCUUUACGAAUAAUAGAUUUUGUAAGAUUAGAUUAGUUUUUAAAUUUAUUUUUAAUCAUAUAAUCAUAAUGACUUUGUAUGUGUAAAAGUAAGAUUUCUGAAAACUGUUAUGAUAUGAAUUUGCAGAUCUGAAAAACAGGGGUCCCAAGCCAAGAUCACCUCCAUCACCCACUAGUAGCUGGCCCGGACAUCCUGGUCAUCCUCCAUCCAACCAUGGCUGAAAUAUUACCACAAAUAGUAAGGGCUUCAAGUUUUCUUGGAUUCUCAUUUUGGUUAUCAACUUUUACUGUAUUAGGUUUUAUGUUAUAAAUAACACUGUGUAAGACCACGAAAGGAUUUACCCGUCCAUGUUAUGGAAUAUUAUAGAUUAUAAGGAAAUUAAAACCUUUUUAUUAUUCAUCUUAAUUUUUACUGGGAUUUUAGCAAACAAUUACUAAAAGUAUGGUUAGGAAUUGUAUAAUUAUUCACAAUAGUUUUGUGCAUUCCUUCUUUCAAUAAUUGAAACAAUUACUAAAUAUGAGUAUGUAUUUACUAUUUACGUUAAUAAAAAAUUAAAAAUAUAUUAGAAGAUUUCAAAAUAAUUAGUUAUAUUAAAUUUUAUAAUAUUUUAAUUACAGAUAAAGGAUUAAUUUUAAAGCUAUUGUUUAGAGAUAUUGGAUUAUUUUGAUCCAAAACAAAUUUAGAAAAUGUUUUCAAUUUGAAAAUCAAGAAUCAAAUAAUAAAUUAUGAAAUCAAUUUAGCAUUACGAAGAAAAAUAUCAUUACAUUAAAAAACAUUACAGAUAUAUACAUAAGUAGGAUUGCAUAAGAAUUUAAUGAAUUACAUCAAUUCCAACAUUAAGGAGUGUGAGGAAUAAUGUAUGUGGAUUGUAAUCAGUGGUACAUAUGAACUCAUAGGAAUAAUAUAUUUUUUAGAAAAGAAAAGUUGGAUGCUGAAAAGAUAUUUACAUUAGAAACCCUUAAGACAUGGGAUUGAAUUACCAAUAAGAACUCAAAAGCUAAAUUCUCUUAUUCGGAUUAAUUUUUUGCACAUCGAUAUGAAUUUAAAGUAUAUAUCUAGCUAGCUAUCUAAAGGGGGAAAAUAGAGUGGUGUAACUUUGUUUGGAUUAUAUCAACAAUAAGAGAGCAAUGAGAUAAAUCUAAGUAAAAGUUUUAUAUGGGUGCUAUCUAGUUAGCUUUUUCAUAACAGCAUGUGACUCUUUUUGGUCAAAUAGAUGAAUCUAUGAUCCAAGACAAAAUCAUGGUUCAAAAGAUUUCUUUUUAACCUUUUUCAAACAUUUGAUUUAAACUAUCUUUUGUAGAUAUGAUUUGACGAAUAACAAUUAAGAUGCUCACACUCUUAUUUGGAUCAUACUAAAAUAUUCUUUUAAAUCAAAUUUGACAUUCCUAAAGAAGAUAUUAUUUCUCUAAUUUCAUAAAUUCCACGUGAAAGCAAUCCACGUCUCCUCCAUAGCAUAUUCCCUUUAUGUUAUUUACUCGGUCAUUCGUGUUGUUCUAUGAGGGUUUCCAAGACUACCAAUCAAUUUUUAGUAUGAAAUUUGGUCUUAGGUACAAAGUAUAAGGAUGGCUAGAAGUCCUUUUUUGUGCUAUUGCCUAAAUACCUUAUUGCUUUUUAUAGCUUUAGGGACAAGUGGUGGCAUGUCUUCCAUUAUUUAUAAUUAAUAUUAUGUUGCAUAAUAUAUAUAGUGAAGAAGACCUACCACUUCCUCAUUCAUAUCAUGUAUUGGAAGUUUCACAGAAAGCUCAACAUGUUAAAUAUGAUGAAAACUAUAUACAUAAUUAAUCCUUUGUUUUAAAUACACAUAUAGAAUUUUCUAUUUAUAAUAGAAAAAAUAUGAGUUAAAUUCAAAAUACAAAUAAAAAUUAAUAACAAAUAAUUAAACACAAAAGAUAAAGAUAAAAAAUAAAUAUAAAAUAAAUAUAAUAUAUCUAACACAACUUAUUAUAAAGUGGCUGAUUACGAACAAGCAUCACAGAAAUCUGGUUUCAGCCUUCAAAAUACUCUGGUAUGGCUUGGAUCAGAGUUUCUUCUAAGUUUGUAUCUUUCCUUGUUCUGUUAGCAAUGGCAUUUUCUUUCUUUGCACAGCUUACUUCAGUUAGUGCAGGUUUGUGUAGCUACUACCUCUUUAAAAUAUGCAAACACAUAUGAACAACAUGUGUUUAGAAUUGUAAGAUCAUUAUCACUGUCAUUAGUGUUUGGUAGAUGAUGAUGAUGAAUUAAUUAGUGCAUGAAAGUGUUUAGCACGUAAAGUAAAAGUACAUGUUGUUGCAGGUAGAAGCAUAUUAGGUAUCUUGAAAAGUUUAUAAUUAACGUGAUAGCUGUGAUCUUGAUUUGCAGAUCCGAAAGUGAGAAAAUUGGGUGUGAUGCCAAGUCCACCUCCUUCACCUGCGCGUAAUCCAUCAUGGCGUACUCUACCUCCUCGUCUUCCUCCUCCAUCCAUUUAAAUUUUCAUUUUCUGCUUAUAUCUUGUCAUUGUUAGUGAAACCAAACUGAGUAUUUGGUCAGUCUUCUUGUGUUUCGUCUGUGUUUUGUAAUAAGCCAGGUUUCAGGCACCUUUUGUUAGUUUUGUAUUGUUUUCUGCAUAAUGUACGUUGUUCAGCAUAGUAUUUUACUGUUUGGUCUGUGUGUUGCACCCCUUUAAUAUAUAAUUAUCUUCUUUGUUGGGAA
Molecule: long non-coding RNA, 2893 nt
Filed under: Vigna radiata
Lineage: Eukaryota; Viridiplantae; Streptophyta; Magnoliopsida; Fabales; Fabaceae
Description: long non-coding RNA (VRAD_LNC000212)
Source: RNAcentral